RNAcentral lists this transfer RNA (66 nucleotides) under Sphaerodactylus townsendi. RNAcentral describes it as "tRNA-Val". The record is from RNAcentral. Lineage: Eukaryota; Metazoa; Chordata; Lepidosauria; Squamata; Sphaerodactylidae.
GCGGCUCAAUGGGAGAGCCUCUGCUUGACAUGCAGAAAAUCCCAGGUUCUAUCCGUGCCAUAUGCA